RNAcentral lists this ribosomal RNA (433 nucleotides) under uncultured bacterium. RNAcentral's name for it is "bacterial SSU rRNA". It matches the Rfam family "Bacterial small subunit ribosomal RNA", at positions 29 to 507 of the family's 1533-position model. The record is from RNAcentral.
AACGAACGCUGGCGGCAUGCCUAACACAUGCAAGUCGAACGAAGCCUCCGGGCUUAGUGGCGCACGGGUGCGUAACGCGUGGGAACCUACCAUCAGGUUCGGAAUAACAGUUAGAAAUGACUGCUAAUACCGGAUAAUGUCUUCGGACCAAAGAUUUAUCGCCUUUUGAUGGGCCCGCGUAAGAUUAGGUAGUUGGUGGGGUAAAGGCCUACCAAGCCGACGAUCUUUAGCUGGUCUGAGAGGAUGAUCAGCCACACUGGGACUGAGACACGGCCCAGACUCCUACGGGAGGCAGCAGUGGGGAAUAUUGGACAAUGGGCGAAAGCCUGAUCCAGCAAUGCCGCGUGAGUGAUGAAGGCCUUAGGGUUGUAAAGCUCUUUUACUGGGGAUGAUAAUGACAGUACCCAGAGAAUAAGCUCCGGCUAACUCCGUG